This 394-nucleotide ribosomal RNA is filed under the name uncultured bacterium. RNAcentral describes it as "partial 16S ribosomal RNA". It matches the Rfam family "Bacterial small subunit ribosomal RNA", at positions 338 to 729 of the family's 1533-position model. The record is from RNAcentral.
CCUACGGGUGGCAGCAGUGAGGAAUAUUGGUCAAUGGACGAGAGUCUGAACCAGCCAAGUAGCGUGAAGGAUGAAUGCCCUAUGGGUUGUAAACCUCUUUUAUCAAGGAAUAAAACGACCCACGUGUGGGUUUUUGCAAGUACUUUAAGAAAAAGCAUCGGCUAACUCCGUGCCAGCAGCCGCGGUAAUACGGAGGAUGCGAGCGUUAUCCGGAUUUAUGUGGUUUAAAGGGUGCGUAGAGGGGUUGUUAAGUCAGUUGUGAAAGUUUGCGGCUCAACCGUAAAAUUGCAAUUGAUACUGGCCGUCUUGAGUACGGUUGAGGUAGGCGGAAGGCGUGGUGUAGCGGUGAAAUGCUUAGAUAUCACGAAGAACCCCGAUUGCGAAGGCAGCUUAC